GACGAACGCUGGCGGCGUGCCUAAUACAUGCAAGUAGAACGCUGAAGGAGGAGCUUGCUUCUCUGGAUGAGUUGCGAACGGGUGAGUAACGCGUAGGUAACCUGCCUGGUAGCGGGGGAUAACUAUUGGAAACGAUAGCUAAUACCGCAUAAGAGUAGAUGUUGCAUGACAUUUGCUUAAAAGGUGCAAUUGAAUCACUACCAGAUGGACCUGCGUUGUAUUAGCUAGUUGGUGGGGUAACGGCUUACCAAGGCGACGAUACAUAGCCGACCUGAGAGGGUGAUCGGCCACACUGGGACUGAGACACGGCCCAGACUCCUACGGGAGGCAGCAGUAGGGAAUCUUCGGCAAUGGACGGAAGUCUGACCGAGCAACGCCGCGUGAGUGAAGAAGGUUUUCGGAUCGUAAAGCUCUGUUGUAAGAGAAGAACGAGUGUGAGAGUGGAAAGUUCACACUGUGACGGUAUCUUACCAGAAAGGGACGGCUAACUACGUG
This 495-nucleotide ribosomal RNA is filed under the name uncultured bacterium. RNAcentral's name for it is "partial 16S ribosomal RNA". It matches the Rfam family "Bacterial small subunit ribosomal RNA", at positions 28 to 507 of the family's 1533-position model. The record is from RNAcentral.